AACACAAAGAAAAAUGGCUUGGCGAAGUGAAAACG
This 35-nucleotide ribosomal RNA is filed under the name Staphylococcus aureus. RNAcentral describes it as "partial 23S ribosomal RNA". The record is from RNAcentral. Lineage: Bacteria; Bacillati; Bacillota; Bacilli; Caryophanales; Staphylococcaceae.